Molecule: ribosomal RNA, 253 nt
Filed under: uncultured bacterium
Lineage: Bacteria
Description: partial 16S ribosomal RNA
Rfam family: Bacterial small subunit ribosomal RNA
Source: RNAcentral
UACAGAGGGUGCAAGCGUUAAUCGGAAUUACUGGGCGUAAAGGGUGCGUAGGUGGUUUUUUAAGUCAGAUGUGAAAACCCUGGGCUUAACCUAGGAAUUGCAUAUGAAACUGAGAAACUAGAGUGCGGUAGAGGGAAGUGGAAUUUCCGGUGUAGCGGUGAAAUGCGUAGAUAUCGGAAGGAACACCAGUGGCGAAGGCGACUUCCUGGACCGUUACUGACACUGAGGCACGAAAGCGUGGGGAGCGAACAGG